GACGUAGGGCGCAAGCGUUGUCCGGAUUUAUUGGGCGUAAAGAGCUCGUAGGCGGCUUGUUGCGUCGACCGUGAAAACCCGUGGCUCACUGCGGCUUGCGGUCGAUACGGGCGGGCUAGAGUUCGGUAGGGGAGACUGGAAUUCCUGGUGUAGCGGUGAAAUGCGCAGAUAUCAGGAGGAACACCGGUGGCGAAGGCGGGUCUCUGGGCCGAUACUGACGCUGAGGAGCGAAAGCGUGGGGAGCGAACAGG
RNAcentral lists this ribosomal RNA (251 nucleotides) under uncultured bacterium. Its description in RNAcentral is "partial 16S ribosomal RNA". It matches the Rfam family "Bacterial small subunit ribosomal RNA", at positions 524 to 776 of the family's 1533-position model. The record is from RNAcentral.